This 290-nucleotide ribosomal RNA is filed under the name Amylibacter sp. Its description in RNAcentral is "partial 23S ribosomal RNA". It matches the Rfam family "Bacterial large subunit ribosomal RNA", at positions 2624 to 2925 of the family's 2925-position model. The record is from RNAcentral. Lineage: Bacteria; Pseudomonadati; Pseudomonadota; Alphaproteobacteria; Rhodobacterales; Paracoccaceae.
AGACAGUUCGGUCCCUAUCUGCCGUGGGUGUAGGAGACUUGAUGGGAGUUGCCCCUAGUACGAGAGGACCGGGGUGAACGAUCCACUGGUGGAUCUGUUGUUGCGCCAGCAGCAGUGCAGAGUAGCUAUGAUCGGACAGGAUAACCGCUGAAGGCAUCUAAGCGGGAAGCCCCCCCAGAAACAAGGUCUCCCUUGAGGGCCGUGGAAGACCACCACGUCGAUAGGUCGGAGAUGUAAGUGCUGUAAAGCAUUCAGUUGACCGAUACUAAUUGCCCGAUAGGCUUGAUUUG